This 773-nucleotide ribosomal RNA is filed under the name uncultured Neocallimastigales. RNAcentral's name for it is "partial large subunit ribosomal RNA". It matches the Rfam family "Eukaryotic large subunit ribosomal RNA", at positions 23 to 643 of the family's 3401-position model. Lineage: Eukaryota; Fungi; Neocallimastigomycota; Neocallimastigomycetes; Neocallimastigales. The record is from RNAcentral.
GAGAUGUGUGAUGACGCAUAUCAAUAAGCGGAGGAAAAGAAACUAACUAGGAUUCCCUCAGUAACGGCGAGUGAAGCGGGAAGAGCUCAAAUUUGAAAUCUUCAAGGUUCUACCUUGACGAAUUGUAGUUUAAAGAAGUGUUUUCUGUUGGAGUUUUGGUAAAAGUUCUUUGGAAUAGGACAUCAUAGAGGGUGAGAAUCCCGUAUUUGACCAUUAUUUCCAGCUGUGUGAUACACUUUCAAAGAGUCGGAUUGUUUGGGAAUGCAGUCCAAAAUGGGUGGUAAAUUUCAUCUAAAGCUAAAUAUUGGCGAGAGACCGAUAGCGAACAAGUACCGUGAGGGAAAGAUGAAAAGAACUUUGAAAAGAGAGUUAAACAGUACGUGAAAUUGUCAAAAGGGAAGCGUUUGACACCAGUGUUGUUUUUCCGAAAAUCAAUUACGAAUGUUUUGUUUUUGAGGAGUUAUGACUUCAUCGGCUUGCUUCUCUCUUUACGAAACUUUCUUAAUGCACUUUUCGGUUAACAAGUCAACAUCAAUUUCUUUUGUUGUAAAAGGGUAUGAGGAAGGUGGCUUUCUUUUCGGAGAAAGUGUUUAUAGCCUUGUACCUCUGCAAUCGGAGAGAUUGAGGUCUGCAGCGUAGAUCCUUCGGGGUUAGAUACAUUUGUGCUAAGUUAUAGCUUUUCAUAGACAACUUGUUGACUAUGUUAAGUCUUGUAGCUUACUCGCUUAUGCUAUUUUACCUACGCUUAGGAUGUUGAAGAUGUAGCACAUCAU